RNAcentral lists this ribosomal RNA (460 nucleotides) under uncultured bacterium. RNAcentral's name for it is "partial 16S ribosomal RNA". It matches the Rfam family "Bacterial small subunit ribosomal RNA", at positions 338 to 795 of the family's 1533-position model. The record is from RNAcentral.
CCUACGGGUGGCAGCAGUGCGGAAUAUUGGUCAAUGGACGAGAGUCUGAACCAGCCAAGUAGCGUGAAGGAUGAAUGCCCUAUGGGUUGUAAACUUCUUUUAUAUGGGAAUAAAAUGUUCCACGUGUGGGAUUUUGUAUGUACCAUAUGAAUAAGGAUCGGCUACCUCCGUUCCAGCAGCCGAGGUAAUACGGAGGAUCCGUGCGUUAUCCGGAUGUAUUGGGUUUAAAGGGAGCGUAGGUGGAUUGUUAAGUCAGUUGUGAAAGUUUGCGGCUCAACCGUAAAAUUGCAGUUGAGACUGGCAGUCUUGAGUACAGUAGAGGUGGGCGGAAUUCGUGGUGUAGCGGUGAAAUGCGUAGAUAUCACGAAGAACUCCGAUUGCGAAGGCAGUUCACUGGACUGCAACUGACACUGAGGCUCGAAAGUGUGGGUAUCAAACAGGAUUAGAUACCCUUGUAGUC